Molecule: long non-coding RNA, 4731 nt
Organism: Triticum aestivum (bread wheat)
Lineage: Eukaryota; Viridiplantae; Streptophyta; Magnoliopsida; Poales; Poaceae
Exons: 10
Source: RefSeq, a predicted model, not a curated record
GCCAAUCCCCUCCACGCGCGCGCACCCAAUCCCAUCCUCGUCUCGCCUCAGCCGCCCCUGCACAAACCCUAGCCCCUUUUCUCCUCGACCCCCAUAGCCGCCGCAACCCUCCCGCUCCGUCUCCCCUCCCUUCCCACCUCCCCUGUCAGCGGCCGCCGCCACUCCACCUCCUUCUCUGUCACCGGCGGCCAGCUCAUCCCACUGCCUCGUGCUCGCCGCUGACCAUGGAUCCACCAUGGACGGAGGGUGUCAAGAGGGGAAGGAAGUCUUCGGCUUCGCAGGCAGCGCUGGCGGACGAGCACACUCGCAUGUCCUCUUCCUGGGCGAGCCAACUCAGAUGUGGAAGGCACCUCGAGCAUGGGAGGAGUGACCACGGCUAGGCAUCACGGGUUGGCCGAGGUGAGGAACAGGCAUCCAGAAUUCCAGAUUGUUAUAUAGGGGUGGGUGUUCUCGGCCAGCGUUGGGCGUUCUCGCUGACUCUCUGUCUAACCUAUCCAUAGGUAUACUAGCCCAUUUUUGUUUAUUUGAUUUUCCUUUCCAAGUGCAUGCUUUAGUUUAUCCUGGUUUGCGAACCUUUUUUAUGCUACCUUGGUGGUCGAUGCAGAAUCACAAAUGCAAAACGAGAGGUGCGGAUGUGAGGAUAGACCUAUGAUAUAGUUUUACAACUUUGUUCUUGUUAAAAGAACUACUCUAUAUAUUUGCUGCAAGUUAAUUGUGAGGAUAUGACACCUUAUAGAAAUGACACCUUAGUGUUUCUUGCUUCCAUCUGCAUUGUUGCAUGCCGUGAUUGUGUUCUGACAAGUUCUUUUCUGUAUUUUACACGUUGUAUGAUCUCAUCCGUUGCGGCAUCUCCGUUCUGCUCGUUGCUUCAUCGCUGUUGCUAUUUUUGAGAUAUCUAAGCUGAUGUCUCAAAUAGUUCAGAACAACCAGUCGGAACUGCAGGAGCCAUCUUCACCUUAAUCUGAAAAUAGAAGGUUUUCCUUUUGCUAGACCUCUGAAAAAUCUGCAGUGGAGUAACCGCUCACAUUACCUAUUGCUCUGGUUUUUUAAGGUAAUUGCAGCUGGCAAAGCUUGCACUAAUGUUUUGAGUUCAAUCGUUCGCUGUGUGGAUGCUACAUAAUUCUAAUAGUUCUGUGGAACACUUGUUCUGGUCUGGUCAUCUGGUAAUUUUCUUUUUUGCAGCUUAACUGUUGUAGGGUAGACAGACUAUACAUACUGAAGAAAUGUCCCCGUCCGACAGUCCUUCAUGCUCAGUUGUAGUGAUAGCGUUGGGUACUAUGUGCACCCUUUCAUGUAAUUGUGUUACCCUGACAAAAUUUAUAACUAUGAUCUCUCAUAUCUUAUUCUGAGUUUAAGGAAAUAACUGGAGUAAUGUUAAUGAUCCAGUGUUGAGAAUAAAAAAAGGUGGAAGCACAUUGAGUGGCUUUAGUUUUGUUACCUGACGUAUAAUGUACCUUUAGUUUUUGAGUGAAGAUCCUUAUGUACACAUAAGUUGUAUCUAAAACUUUCAGCUAUAUAAGUAAAACAAAGAAUUUCAAAACUUACACCUCUUUUUUUCCAUGAGCUGUUGAAGCUUGAUUGAUAGUUUUCCAACUCUGAUGAAGUGGUUAGGAUGAUCAGGUUUUGCACAUUCUGGAGAUUUUUAUACCUUCUGUAAAAUGCACAAUUAUGGAUUCAGAUAAACUGGGAGUGGUGCAUGCCAUUGUAUUGUGUUCCUGAACCUUGCUUUCUCCAUGUCAGGUCUUCUGUUCUAAGAAAAAACUCUUUUGUUGCAUCCACAUUAACCAUAUAUAUUUCUAUUUCCAUUUUCGAAUUGUAAUCUGUAGCUCAGUUUGGUGUGUCAAUUUCAGCUAGACUAAAUCAACCAUUCGGUCCUUAGUAAGUCGACUUUUCGUGUGUGUGUGUGUGUGUGUAGGAGGUUUAGCAGGCCUGACUUAAGAUCGAACCCUGAUGGUGUUUAGGCAUGCUCCGGUUGGAGAGCUUAUUUCCAGCGUUGGAGGUCUUUUCAGUUUUUCUAAAGGUGGAAAACUCUGUGCCCUACAUCCCACACACAGGGUGCUAAAAAUGUCCUCUCCCCGCUGCACCUCUCCUCUUCUUUGCUCACUCCUCUUGGUAACUCUAAGAAGAUUUUAAUCUGUUUUAUUUAUAUGCACAUACGGUCUUUGUGAUUAGGGGUCAAAUGUUUGGUUAACAUAUGGACUGAUUGGAAUGGUUAGAAAAAUACGAAUCACAUCACAGGAAGCCGUAAUAUACAGUUUUACCUUCAGCUUGAAUAAAUACACAUUGUUCAGUUCAUAUUUGACUCCAAUAGUUGUACUUCCAUAUAACAGACUUGUCCAAGUUAAACCACGAGAAUGUCAUGGGCUUGCUUGGCUACCGCGGAGAAGGGCAUUCUUUCAACGGCACUGUCGAUUGCUAGCAAACUGUCUAUUGUGUCGUUGAUUGAUAUCCAGACUUACUGUUUUUCGUUCAGUUUAAGGGCUCUCUAGGCUUAAGAUCUUUCUAGGAUAAUUGUGUCAUUGAAUCUAAAGGUACAUGAUCGUUUUCUCAGCUCAUGCAUCGAUAUGCAUUUGUUUCUUGGCUGACUUGUCCUACAUUUGUGAGGUUGUUGAGGAAGUUCAUUUCUUGCAGGAGGCGCAAAACUUGAGUUGCCUACAUAUGAGUUUGCCAGUUCACCGAAACUUAGAAUAAAGAGGGGAACUUUCUCCGUUUUGUUGUUUUUGCUCUUCUCAGAUUUUAGGCUGGGUGUAUUAACAUAUAUGCCACACACUAAAUUUAGAUCUCAGUGCAAGUUUAAAUAGGGAUGAAUCAUUGUGCCAUGUUGAAAAAAUAGAACUACAGAGAAGAAAGGAAAUUAUUAAAGAAGGGAUAUAGUUGAUUAGGUUGUUGUGGUGUUUCUUUGUAAAUAACAACAUUCUAACUUGCUGGUUUAAUCUAGGUAUGUGGGAUAUAGGAGAUACAAGGAGAUAUAUUUCAGUUGCAAUCGAGCUUUAUUUCAAAGUGAAACAUGGUAGACAUGCAUAGCAUGCUGGUGUUUUACUCUAUGCUUCUGGGCCGCCAUGGUGUCAAUUUUGAACUUGCAAAACAAACUGUAAAAUAUUUUAAUGCCUUGGGGCAUGAAGUUCUCUUUACCUCCUCUGAUUGCUUCAUCUCUGUUUAUGUAGCAGGUUCUACGUUCUCCUGUGUUGCUGCAUCUUGGUCUUCUGUUGCUUGAGGCCGUGGCACCGAUAUUCUCUCUGAUAGUACCCAAGUUCCAAUUCAAGGGAGCCAACAAGCGCGGCAUCCCUGUGUCCCGCGACCCCGCCGCGCUGCUAGCGAAGUACUCUGACCCGCUGGUCUACACGGUGCCGAUCAGGGUCCGUACAGGCCAUGAGAUCCUGCGCAUCUCCUCCUACCUGCUGCACAACCUGAAGAAGGUGACGGUCCCGUUCGUGGUCCUGCACGGCACCGCGGGCCGUGUGACGGACCCGCUGGCUUCACAGGAGCUCUACACGGAGGCCGCGUCGAGGCACAAGGACCUGCGUCUGUACGAGGGGUUCCUGCACGACCUGCUCUUCGAGCCCGAGCGCGACGAGAUCGCGGCCGACAUCAUCGGGUGGAUGGACCGGACGCUCGGCCUGCAAGCCGUAUGAAGGGCAGCUGUUGUCUGAAGAUGGGGGAGGAGCUCAACAUAAUGUGCGGAUCGCUCCGGUCAGAGCCAUGGGAUUGCAGCCAUGGGCUUCAUGGCAUGGCAUGGCAAGACAUGCAUGAUGGCUUUGGUCUGGUUCUGAUUGUAUUGUUUGCGGUGAUCCUCGUCUUACGAUGCUGCCGGUGCAGACCAGUGGACUGAAAAGCCAGUGGUUUGUGGUUUGUAUUAAUGCUACACUAUCUAUAAUAACAAAAGGGGUGAAAAGAAUGACGCGUACUGCUGGCCUGCAAAACCUUUCUCGAUCCUGUAAAGGUUGGUUGCUCCAAUUAUUGGCACUAGGUAUUCCAACCUGAAAAACCAAGCAGCUGCACGUAUCCUGGCGGUUAGCUGUCUCGUGGCCAGCAUGUGCCAACUGCCGAGUGGUUGGGAGGGACCGUUUUGUUGGCAGUUUUGAGAGUCAACAAAUGCGAGCGUAGAUUAUUGAUUGGACAUGUCCAUGGACAUUGUCAUAAUGGUCACCUUAUCGCAGUGUAUUAUUUUUGGAUCUCAUAUUCCUCAAGGUGCUCCAUCUUCUGAUUCGAUGUCGGCCGAUCUGAGAAAUAAGAGGAGGAAUAAUCCAGCAGAAGAAUUCGGUGAAGAAGAACAAGAAAAGAAUACCUUUAUCCUGAUAGGCAUGGAAACACUGGUUCGCAUUGAGUGCAUCAUCGCUAAUCAGCUACUAUUAGAGAGCAAGGGACAUAUAAGAAAUCUCCAGGCAACUUCACUUAGAUGCAUCAUCUUCUGCUAGGAGUCAGCUUGAAGAAUGACCUUCUCAGAUUAAUUCUUGGGAGACUGCAACUGACAUGUUGGAUGGGGAAUAACCAAAUUUGUGGACAAAGACAAAGAGUUCAUCGCAAGGGGUGGUGUUUAGGAUAUAUACACAAAACAGGAAACUUUUUUUGUACAGAACCAAAUUAUAUGAUGUAAUUGACCACUAUUUCUAAGAAAUGUUCAUCAUGUAUUAAGUACAUUUUAUUGUGUCACUUUUUUUUGAAGUGUAGCUUUAUUCAUCAAACAUCACAAAGUGUGCGAUAGAGUUCAUCAAACCAGGUUUUAUUGUGUCA